ACUGAUUUAGCAUAUGUUAAUGUAGUGGGUUGUAAACCCUUUGAAAUCUUUGAAGAUGGUCAGAA
This 65-nucleotide transfer RNA is filed under the name Echinococcus shiquicus. Its description in RNAcentral is "tRNA-Tyr". The record is from RNAcentral. Lineage: Eukaryota; Metazoa; Platyhelminthes; Cestoda; Cyclophyllidea; Taeniidae.